Molecule: transfer RNA, 69 nt
Filed under: Carbrunneria paramaxi
Lineage: Eukaryota; Metazoa; Arthropoda; Insecta; Blattodea; Blattellidae
Description: tRNA-Ser
Source: RNAcentral
AGUUAAAAAACUUUUGAAAGUAUUAUAUUUUGAAAAUAUAAGUAAAAGGUUAAAAUCCUUUAUUAACUU